RNAcentral lists this ribosomal RNA (467 nucleotides) under uncultured bacterium. Its description in RNAcentral is "partial 16S ribosomal RNA". It matches the Rfam family "Bacterial small subunit ribosomal RNA", at positions 28 to 507 of the family's 1533-position model. The record is from RNAcentral.
GAUGAACGCUGGCGGCGUGCUUAACACAUGCAAGUCGAACGAUGAUGCCCAGCUUGCUGGGUGGAUUAGUGGCGAACGGGUGAGUAACACGUGUGUAACCUGCCCUUGACUCUGGGAUAAGCCUGGGAAACUGGGUCUAAUACCGGAUACGACCAUCUGGCGCAUGUCAUGGUGGUGGAAAGCUUUUGUGGUUUUGGAUGGACUCGCGGCCUAUCAGCUUGUUGGUGGGGUAAUGGCCUACCAAGGCGACGACGGGUAGCCGGCCUGAGAGGGUGACCGGCCACACUGGGACUGAGACACGGCCCAGACUCCUACGGGAGGCAGCAGUGGGGAAUAUUGCACAAUGGGCGCAAGCCUGAUGCAGCGACGCCGCGUGAGGGAUGACGGCCUUCGGGUUGUAAACCUCUUUCAGUAGGGAAGAAGCGAAAGUGACGGUACCUGCAGAAGAAGCGCCGGCUAACUACGUG